This 1435-nucleotide ribosomal RNA is filed under the name Crawfordia sp. MFW-1996. Its description in RNAcentral is "partial 18S ribosomal RNA". It matches the Rfam family "Eukaryotic small subunit ribosomal RNA", at positions 395 to 1343 of the family's 1831-position model. Lineage: Eukaryota; Metazoa; Arthropoda; Insecta; Strepsiptera; Stylopidae. The record is from RNAcentral.
CCUGAGAAACGGCUACCACAUCCAAGGAAGGCAGCAGGCGCGCAAAUUACCCACUCCCGGCACGGGGAGGUAGUGACGAUAAAUAACGAUCCGGAACUCUAAUGAGUUUCCGUAAUCGGAAUGAGCACAAUUUAAAUCCUUUAACGAGGAGCAAAUGGAGGGCAAGUCUGGUGCCAGCAGCCGCGGUAAUUCCAGCUCCAUUAGCAUAUAUUAAAGUUGUUGCGGUUAAAAAGCUCGUAGUUGAAUCUGUAUCUCAUACUGUCAGCUCGCUCGUAAUUUAAUUUAUGCAGUUUGAUUUGACAUUUUGUAUGAGAUAUAAAUAUCGGUGGAUUUUUCAAGGUUUUUUUCGUAUAGUGGCGUUUCUUUUCGAUUCGUUUUUUUGCGUUUCGAAAAAAGUGCUUCUAGAAAUUAAUCCUUAAAAUCCGAUAUGGUAGUUUUAAAAAAAAAUCGAAAAAAUUUUCACAGUUUAUUUAGUCGAUUUUUAGAAAUGAGGAUUAAUUGAAAAUUUUUUUUGAUUAAUCAUUUCGUUUUUAAAGUGAUUAAAUAAAUGAAUUUUUUUUCUUUUUUAAAACUAAUUAUAUUCUAAUGAAAAAUUAAUUUUUUUUAAAAAUUAGACCGAUAAAAUUACUUUGAACAAAUUAGAGUGCUUAAAGCAGGCAAAUUUAUAUGCCUUGAAUAUGAUCAGCAUGGAAUAAUAGAAUAUGAUCUCGAUACUGUUUCCGAUUUCGAAAAGGGGAAUCUUUUUUGAAAAUUAUUGGCUUAAAGAAGUAAAUAAUACAUUUGAGAUUUUUUCGUAAAAAUCUAAAAGGUUUUUUCGGAAAUCAUCGCAUUUCCGAAAGAAAUGAUUUUAGUUAUCGACAAUUUUGAGAAUGAAUUUUUUCGAAAUUGUUGUCGAAAAUCGUCUUUUGGAUUGAAUAAAUUUCAGAGUAUUUAUUUCGACAGUAUAUCGAGAUAAUGAUCAAUAGAGACGGAUGGGGGCAUUCGUACUACGACGCUAGAGGUGAAAUUCUUGGACCGUCGUAAGACGAACUGAAGCGAAAGCGUUUGUCAAAAACGUUUUCAUUGAUCAAGAACGAAAGUUAGAGGUUCGAAGGCGAUCAGAUACCGCCCUAGUUCUAACCAUAAACGAUGCCGACCAGCGAUCCGUCGAUGUUCAUUUAAAUUGACUCGACGGGCAGCUUCCGGGAAACCAAAGUUUUUGGGUUCCGGGGGAAGUAUGGUUGCAAAGCUGAAACUUAAAGGAAUUGACGGAAGGGCACCACCAGGAGUGGAGCUUGCGGCUUAAUUUGACUCAACACGGGAAAUCUCACCAGGCCCGGACACCGAAAGGAUUGACAGAUUAAUAGCUCUUUCUUGAUUCGGUGGGUGGUGGUGCAUGGCCGUUCUUAGUUGGUGGAGCGAUUUGUCUGGUUAAUUCCGAUAACGAACGAGACUC